RNAcentral lists this long non-coding RNA (500 nucleotides) under Zea mays. Its description in RNAcentral is "long non-coding RNA (ZMAY_LNC000428)". Lineage: Eukaryota; Viridiplantae; Streptophyta; Magnoliopsida; Poales; Poaceae. The record is from RNAcentral.
UGGCAGCGAGUGGUCCCUGAGCUGACAUUGCGGAGUGCCGGGCAACGCCAUGGAGAGCAGCAGGUAUUGACAUUGCAGAGUGCUACUUUGGUCAAUUUGUCGUGUACUUUAACAUGUUGUAUAUGUCGAUUUGAUGCAUCCUUAACAUGCCUUCUAGGUGGAUCUGGUCCUAUACAUUUGGAUUUGGAUUUGGAUUUGUUCAUAUGCUCAUUAGGUAUUAACCUUGUGUUGUGUAGGUAACAGCGCACUCCCUGCAACCUAUUAACUUUAGAGCCUCAUCGUAGUGCAUGCUUUCAACAACUUGAUACAGCCUCUCAACGUAGUGCUAGCGUUCAACCUGCUGAGUCACUUGAGGUGGCUAGUGAUAGCAGUUAUGACUCAGAUGCUGCUGCUUCUGACAUUAACUCUAAAAUGGAUGAGUCUAACUAUGAUGGUGAUGAUGUAAUAAGCCUUGAUGAUGACGAGGACAUUGAACCUACAUUUUGUUAUGAUGUUGAUCA